Molecule: ribosomal RNA, 1373 nt
Filed under: uncultured bacterium
Lineage: Bacteria
Description: 16S ribosomal RNA
Rfam family: Bacterial small subunit ribosomal RNA
Source: RNAcentral
UUAGAGUUUGAUCCUGGCUCAGGACGAACGCUGGCGGCACGCUUAACACAUGCAAGUCGAACGAGAGAAGAGAAGCUUGCUUUUCUGAUCUAGUGGCGGACGGGUGAGUAACACGUGAGCAAUCUGCCUUUCAGAGGGGGAUACCGAUUGGAAACGAUCGUUAAUACCGCAUAACAUAAUUGAACCGCAUGAUUUGAUUAUCAAAGAUUUAUCGCUGAAAGAUGAGCUCGCGUCUGAUUAGCUAGUUGGUAAGGUAACGGCUUACCAAGGCGACGAUCAGUAGCCGGACUGAGAGGUUGAUCGGCCACAUUGGGACUGAGACACGGCCCAGACUCCUACGGGAGGCAGCAGUGGGGAAUAUUGCACAAUGGAGGAAACUCUGAUGCAGCGAUGCCGCGUGAGGGAAGAAGGUUUUAGGAUUGUAAACCUCUGUCUUUGGGGACGAAAAAUGACGGUACCCAAGGAGGAAGCUCCGGCUAACUACGUGCCAGCAGCCGCGGUAAUACGUAGGGAGCGAGCGUUGUCCGGAAUUACUGGGUGUAGAGGGAGCGUAGGCGGGAUCGCAAGUCAGAUGUGAAAACUAUGGGCUUAACCCAUAAACUGCAUUUGAAACUGUGGUUCUUGAGUGAAGUAGAGGUAAGCGGAAUUCCUAGUGUAGCGGUGAAAUGCGUAGAUAUUAGGAGGAACAUCAGUGGCGAAGGCGGCUUACUGGGCUUUAACUGACGCUGAGGCUCGAAAGCGUGGGGAGCAAACAGGAUUAGAUACCCUGGUAGUCCACGCCGUAAACGAUGAUUACUAGGUGUGGGGGGACUGACCCCUUCCGUGCCGCAGCAAACGCAAUAAGUAAUCCACCUGGGGAGUACGACCGCAAGGUUGAAACUCAAAGGAAUUGACGGGGGCCCGCACAAGCAGUGGAGUAUGUGGAUUAAUUCGAAGCAACGCGAAGAACCUUACCAGGUCUUGACAUCGUAUGCAUAGCUCAGAGAUGAGUGAAAUCUCUUCGGAGACAUAUAGACAGGUGGUGCAUGGUUGUCGUCAGCUCGUGUCGUGAGAUGUUGGGUUAAGUCCCGCAACGAGCGCAACCCUUACUGUUAGUUGCUACGCAAGAGCACUCUAGCAGGACUGCCGUUGACAAAACGGAGGAAGGUGGGGAUGACGUCAAAUCAUCAUGCCCCUUAUGACCUGGGCCUCACACGUACUACAAUGGCGUAAACAAAGGGAAGCGAGAUUGUGAGAUGGAGCAAAUCCCAAAAAUAACGUCCCAGUUCGGACUGUAGUCUGCAACCCGACUACACGAAGCUGGAAUCGCUAGUAAUCGCGGAUCAGAAUGCCGCGGUGAAUACGUUCCCGGGUCUUGCACUCACCGCCCGUCA